This 254-nucleotide ribosomal RNA is filed under the name uncultured bacterium. RNAcentral describes it as "partial 16S ribosomal RNA". It matches the Rfam family "Bacterial small subunit ribosomal RNA", at positions 524 to 776 of the family's 1533-position model. The record is from RNAcentral.
UACGUAGGGGGCUAGCGUUGUCCGGAUUUAUUGGGCGUAAAGAGCUCGUAGGUGGUUCGGUAAGUCGGAUGUGAAAUCUCCAGGCUCAACCUGGAGGGGUCAUUCGAUACUGCCGUGACUAGAGUUCGGUAGAGGAGUGUGGAAUUCCUGGUGGAGCGGUGAAAUGCGCAGAGAUCAGGAGGAACACCCGUAGCGAAGGCGGCACUCUGGGCCGAUACUGACACUGAGGGGCGAAAGCGUGGGGAGCGAACAGG